This 8387-nucleotide long non-coding RNA is filed under the name Equus caballus (horse). Its description in RNAcentral is "lncRNA (ENSECAG00000036739.2)". The record is from RNAcentral. Lineage: Eukaryota; Metazoa; Chordata; Mammalia; Perissodactyla; Equidae.
CCGGGGAUGUGAAGGUCUCCCUCCUGCAUGUUCUGAUGCUCAGUGUAAUCUACCACAUUCUCCUCUCUGCACUCAUCUCUCUCUGACACGAGGAGGAAGAAAAGAGCACAUGAUUCAACACUGACCCAGUUCUUGGGGGAGGUGUGGAGAAAGCCUGAGGACAGAGACACAGAACAACAGCAAGCACGGCUGCUUUCCACCUCCGCUGAUUUCUGAAGGCAUGCAGCACUCGCUGAGUGGACAAACCGACACGCUUGGUGCCUGCCAGAAACUGCAACUGACCCCAGGCACAUGGGCCUGGAGCUACCUAGCAACCUAGGUAAAGCUCCCUAAACACCAAGAGAGGCAGACUUUAUAGCUCUACUGUGUAUUGGAUUCCUACAUGCAAGAGAUUCUGCAGCAAAGACAGCAGAUGAAAACCCUAGCCUGCCUGAAGCUUACAUUAUGGUUAAGUAGGGAACUGGUUACAGGUGAUGGAAAUUCUGGGAAGCCACCCUGGAAAAGGGAAGCAAUCAAACAUUAACAAAAACAGGAAGCAGCUAACAGCCUUGGGCUAGACGGACAGCAGAGGAGGCAGCAGGAGGUGACAGUGCCAGAAAUUAGAAUCUGGAGCCAACUAGAACUACAACCAGAGUGAGGCUGUCUGGAGUGACAUGGGACCGUGAAAGGAGGGGAGCUGGGGCCAUGAAGAAGAUGCUGUCAGAGAUCCCCAGGUAGGGAGAAGGGUGGACAGAAAUACCCUGGCUUCUCCCUCCUCCCGCUCACCAGUCUCCAGUCAGACCCUUCCUGCCUGGAAGCCCAAGGACAAGGCACUGAGAGAAGCAGUUCCCUGCACACAGCACUGAGGGGGCGGGGGGGGACAAGGAAAGAGUCAGGAGCAAACCCAGAGGCACGAGAAGUGGCAUCUGUUCUGAGCCAAAGCCCCCAGAAUGACUGGAACUCAGGAUGUAUAAGGUGAGGUGGAUUCAGAAAAUUGUGAGUUUAGAGAAGUAAGGUAGACUGAGGCCAGAUCCCAUCAGCACAUUCUCUGCCAGGACCUACAUUAGAGCAAAAUAAUGCCAGAUUUACGCAAUGCUGGGCUUCCAAGGACUUUCUUCAGACAAUUCAGCAUAAACACCUCUGAACAUCUUUGGAGAAAAUCCAAAAAUCUGGCCUUCCAGAAACAUUUGCUGCUAGACUUCUUACCCCUAACGCGAUGAAGAGUGAAAUGAGAACAGUCAAGAUCCUCAUGGCUCUCCAGAGACUGUCCUCAGCCCGUGGCUAUGGGCACCGAGCUACCUGCCAGGUGCUGUGCUAGGUGCUGGACCGUAUGCUGACUAUGACACAGUCCCUACCCGCAGGAGCUCACGGUCUGGUCACGAAUAACCAGCCGUUUAAAUGAAAUGUAAUAAAGACAGUGACAGAGCCAUGGAGACCCAGCUCUGGGAACACAAGGAAAGAAACCCAGGAGGGCAGAGCUGAGCCUUAGAGCACAGGAGGCCUGAACCGCCUCUGCAAGGAUAAGCGGGAAUUGGUCAGAUAAGGAAGUGUGAAGGCAAGCAGGGAUCGCAUCCUUGGGGAAAACGUGUAGCAGGAGCCAAGUCCUGGAGGAGUGAAGGAGAACGGGGUACCCAGGGAAGGGCAGGAAGGUUGGUGCUGCAGCCACAAGGAGACAGAGAAGCGAAGAGGCUGGGAGAGGUAGGCACAGCCAACCUGGGGCUGUGCACUGAAGCUUGCCUUUUAUUCUGCAGGAUUGGGGCUCAAGAAAGGUCCAACCCCUCAAAUCUCCUCUACAAAAUAAGCUGUCACCACCAAACCGUGAGACAAUCCAUGAGCAAAGGCCCUGGAAGCCCCAUCCUCUCACAUUAAAAAUCAAGAAAUUCUAGCCUUGGGAGAAAAAUGUGGCCCAAGGUCACAAGCUAGGACGGAGCUAGGACUGGAGCCCCAAGCCCGCUCCCAGCACAGGCUCCUCCACUGCAUUUGGCUGCCUGCUCCAUUGUCAGCAAAUCCCUGAGUGGGUACGCCUGAAAACUGCCCUACCAAGAACAUUCUACUAAUCUCACGUCUCAGUAGCACAUGUUUCAGACGUUUCCACUGAAGCCUCAUAAAGAAAGUUUUUUCUUCGCUCUUACUAUUCUGAGAUUGGUUCCAGAGCCCAGAUCUACUCUAGGCCAACGAGUAUUCGUAUUGCUAUUAACUGGGAAUGCAAUGCAGCUGCAGUGUAACGAAGAUGAGCUCAAAGAGCAUCCCGGAGACAUCUCAGCAAGGAAAGAGGUGAGCAAGCACAGGGCAAACCUCCCUCUGGUUGAUGCAUUCAUCAGAGGAGUAUCUGGAAAAAUGCAGAGGAAGACCUUUAAGUAUUCGCAUAUCAAGGACCUAUCGCUACGUAUGAAUCCACUCACUCCACAAAUAACUAAGUGAUCGUCUAUUAUGUGCCAGGCAGUGAGCUAUGUUCCGUCAGAAGAUGGGACAGAGGGAAAACCAGGAUAAAUCACACUUGGUCCAUAGAUAUGAAGAGAAAUUCACGGAGACAUAACCCAUCUUGGAAAAAACUAAACAGGCUACAGUGACUGGCAUCGAACCUGCACAAAUGAGUUUAUUUGGAGUACAAGAGGUGCAAAAGGUGCAGGCACAGAGAAAACAGGUGAACAGUGAUGGGGAGGCUAUGGAAUCACACCUGGAGGAGCCAGAGACCCGAGCCCUCCCGGACAGGUGCUCUCGGAAGAGAAGGGGCCUUGGGAGCUAACAGAUUUUGGAGCUUCUGACUCAGUGGCCACCUCCAUCUUCGGUUUCCUGUCUUUGAGCACUGAUCUUUACUGCACUUUCUGUUUUCCAAAGAGACUGGGAAAACAGGCAUCUAAUGCUCAGCAGGCAAGGAAGGCUGUGACUGAAGCCUGCCACAUGCUCUUGACAGACCCUGAGAAGCUGGCUGGCUGGUGUCACAAGUGAGUCUUAAGUGCCAAGAAAGGGAGGUUCCCUCGCUGGCCCCUGACACCAGCAGUCAGCCUCCUGUGACCUGGGCCCAGAUGACGAGAAUGUUUGACUGGUGAGUCAAACUACCCAUGGAAAGAAAACAAUUCCUGUUUCUGUUCCAUAAAAUAGACUUUAACUAGAAUUCCAUCCUGCAAAAUUCUUUGGGUUCAGAAACUGAAAGGUCCCCAGUUCAGUUUUCCUCUUGUUAAGGGGCAUGUGAUCUGGAUUCAGAAGCCCUGUUCAUCCCCAAACCUGUGAUUCAUCUGCUGUGUGGUUUUCCAUCUGUCACUUACCUUCUCGGCACCUGACCUUCGUCAGCCAAAUAUGGAAGAUUAAUUGGCUUGCUGAUGCGGAUUAUGCUCUUAGAAAGCAAAUUGGCUUCAGCCUGACGAGAAUCACUGCCUGCCGGCCCAACUCACGACAGCGACCGAGCUAAGGGGCUGUGCUCGCCUUACAGCCAAACCUCUCCACGCGAAGAAACACCAACUGCAUGCGGGAAAUGAGAAACCAGAUCCAAAAGGGAAGAACGGUGGCAUCAGUCAGUAGAUCAGGAUAACAGAGGGAACCUGUUCACAAUCAGUAAAGCUCAGGAACCAGGAGUACACACAGAUCCAUUCUGAAGUUGAGCGCUGAGAAAAUUCAGAAUGCGGAGAAUGUACUUCUCGUGGCUGAUUCCGUCCAGGCUUAACUUUUUAAAAAUGUUUUCCUUAUGUAUGAAUUUUAUAUGCAAGGCCACAUUUAAACUGUGAAAAAAAGCAUGUACAUCUGAAAGGGUUCUCAAUGUCAGUUACUUUGCAUCCAUUUGGGGGAACCAGGAGUUAGGUUCAUCACUUCAUAAGAAUAUGAUGUUUAACCUUCCACUUCUAGUAGGAUCCACAUAUUUGCAUGAAAACGGAUUGCAAAGUAUUUGAGGCUGAUGUGACUUGCAAAUUGAUAUUUUUCAUGUAAUGCCUUUUGAUAAACUUACAGUCAUGGAAUGGAUAUAUUUAAUUAGAGUAUUCUGUCAACGUGCAAAGAGAGCCAUACUGUUUCUACACAUACUAUUGGCUUAUUAUGGCUUAAUUUCCUUUUGUGGGUGGUUUUUUUGGCCACUCAGCAAGACAUUCUGAAGUAUGCCUGGUCUCAUGGUCUCCACUGCUUGGUCUCCAAGGCACGCUGAAGCUCAAGGCACCAUCUGAUGUGCACACAAAGACUUGGAGUAGUUCUCAGAAUGAGAAGAGAUUGAGAAAAGUAGUUCCGGUGGAUACCACAUACUAGUGGCUGAGGAUCAGGCUACAAAAUGAGCCUGUGCUGCAGAACAGCACACAGGAGCCACUCUGGUAUUUCAGCCACAGGAGCUGGAUUCUCUAAGGUUAGGUGGCGCACAGACAGUCACUUCAGUCAGCAAACCAGGUUCUAGCCCAGCUUUGUUUUGUAUAUCAUGUGACUUCUCAAAACCAUAGCAAGACUGGAGUUAGACCUGGGGAGGAAGGUGCCUGUGGUGACCACUUGGCUCGUUUCUGAGUGGUGGACACAAUGUUGGAAUGUGUCUGCAUUUAUUUACUCCUUCCCCAGUAGACCUCACCCAGUAGAACUUCAUAAUGACCAAUAUUCUUUCAAUCCUUUCCCUAUUUUUUAAAAUUACACAUGUCUGUAUAUGGAAGAUUGAGUCUUUUGGAGAAUCACCUCCCCAAGAAGACAUUUUCAGCAAAGGUCUGAUGAGAUAGAAAGUAGCAACAACCACAUAUACAAAAAUGGAAGGCAAUUCUGCAUGAAGUAUAGCAUGUCCUAUGUCCAUGUCCGAUAGCUGGUCUGCUUUAUUUAGGAAUAUAUGAGGCCCCAGGAGGAGAAUGGAUGAAAAUCCAACCAACAUUCCCAGACUCAGUGAGAUACCCCUGAUACUAUAAAAGAAUGCCUGGCAUGCCUGGCCUCAGGAGGUUAUUCCUAAGACCUCCAGCUUCACCUCCCAUCACCCCCCACCCCCCGAAUGCAGUCCUGGAUCCUUUCUCUUGGCUCCCUUGGCUAGCAGGUAUGCUCCCUGUUUUCUCUGCAGAUUCCCACAUCAACCUUCCAUCUGGAUACAUUAUCAAGUCUCUCAGUCUCCUGCCUCAGCUGCCCUCCUGGCUUCAUGUUCAUCUCUCUUUGAUUCUUGAAUAAACGUGAACACCCUUCAGGGUACCAGCUCCUCAGACUUCUCCUUCCUAUACCAGGGAAAUCCCUAGUCAUUUUAAGGUGGGUACAAAAGUGUUAUAGAAUCAGAGUCUCUGAAUUGGGAGGACCCAUAGGGAUCACUUUGCCCAAACUUUCACAUAACAAUGAUAUGUUGCCACAAGUUGUUAGAUGAGAAGAUGGAUUAAAGUAAUAAAAACAACAGUUUAAAGGUUUGCACCUUGUGGUAAAGAUCUCCAACAUGGAUAUAGUAGGCAGCCUCUAAGAUGGCUCCCAGGGAUCCUUGCCUCCUGGUGUAGCUCCCUCCACACUGUCCUGAAGUUUGUCUGUGUGCCCGACACAGCGCUGUAGGUCUCUUUCGAGAUUUGGUUAUAGAAAAAAGACUGUGAGUUCUUUUUGGAUCCUCUCUCUCUCUCUUUCCUCACUCACUCUGAGGGAAGCCAGCUAACAUGUUGGGAGGACACUCCUAGAAGCCUGCAGAGUGGCCUCCUUGGUAAGAAACAGAAGUCUCCACCCAACAGCCAGCAAGAAACGGAGGCCUGAAGCAAGCACAGGAUUGAACCCAGAAGCUCGGUCCAGCCUUCAGUGGAGACUGCAGCCCCAGCCGACAGCUUGACCACAACCUGAUGAGAAACUUAAGCCAGAACCAUCUACCUUAGGUGCUCCCAGAUUCCUGACCCACCGGACCGGGAGAUAACAAAUGCUUGUUGUUUUAAACUGCUAGGCUUCAAACAGUAAUUAUUUCUUCAACAUCAUAAAGGCCGUAUAUGACAAGCCCACAGCUAACAUUGUCCUCAGUGGCUGCAAGCUUUUCCUCUAAGUUCAGGAAAAAGACAAGGUUGUCCGCUCUCACCACUCUGAUUCAACAUAGUCCUGGAAGCCCUGGCCAGGGCAAUCAGGCAAGAAAAAGAAAGAAAAAGCAUCAGGCUUGGAACGGAAGAAGUAAAAUUGUCUCUAUUUGCAGAUGACAUGAUUUUAUGUAUAGAAAAUCCUAAAGACUCCACCAAAACACUGUUCGAUAUAAUCAAUAAAUUCAGUAAAGUUGCAGGUUACAAAAUCAAUGUACAAAAAUCAGUAGCAUUUCUGUACACUAACAAUGAAUUACCUGAAAAAGAAAUAAAGAAAACAACACCAUUUGCAAUAGUGUCAAAAACAAAUACUUAGAAAUAAAUUUAACCAAGAAGGUGAAAGAUAUCUACACUGAAAACUAUAAGGCAUUGAUGAAAGAAAUUGAAGACACAAAUAAAUGGAAAGAUAUCCCUUGUGUAGGGAUUAGAAGAAUUAACAUUGUUAAAACAUCCAUACUGUCCAAAGCUGUCUAUAGAUUUAAUGCAAUCCCUAUGAAGAUUCCAAGUUUUACAGAAAUACAAGAAACAAUCCUAAAAUUUGUGUGGAACCACAAAAGACCCGGAAUAGCCAAAGCAAUCCUGAGAAAGAAAAACAAAGCUGGAGGCAUCAAACUCCCUGAUUUCAAACUAUAUUACAAAGAAGUAGUAAUCAAAACAGUAUGAUACUGGCAUAAAAAGAAACACAUAGACUAAUGGAACAGAAUUGAGAGAGCAGAAAUAAACCCAUGCACAUAUGAUCAAUUAAUAUUGGACAAGAGUCAAGAAUAGGCAAGAGAGAAAAGACAGUUUCUUCAAUAACUGGUACUGGGAACACUACAUAUUCACAUGCAAAGGAAUGAAACUAAAUCCCUAUCUUACACCUCUCAAAAAUUAACUCAAAAUGGAUUAAAGACUUAAAUGUUAAACCUGAAACCAUAAAAUUCCUAGAAGAAAACAUAGGGAAAAGUCUUAUCACCGUGGGUCUUAGCAAUGAUUUUUUGGGUAUGACACCAAAAGCACAAGCAACAAAAGCAAAAGUGGGACUACACCAAACUAAAAAGCUUCUGCAUAGCAAAUGAGACCAUCAACAAACUGAACACGACCUAUGGAAUGGGAGAAAAUAUUUUCUCUUCUUUUUUUUUUUUUUUUUAAAGAUUGGCACCUGAGCUAACAACUAUUGCCAAUCUUUUUUUUUUUUUUCUGCUUUAUCUCCCCAAAUGCACCCCCACCCCGUACAUAGUUGUAUAUCCUAGUUGUAGGUCCUUCUAGUUGUGGGAUGUGGGACGCCACCUCAACGUGUCCUGAUGAGUAGUACCAUGUUCGCCCCGAGGAUCCGAGCCCUGGGCCGCCGCAGCGGAGCGCACAAACUUAACCACUUGGCCACGGAGCCGGCCCUGAGAAAAUAUUUUCAAACCACACAUCUGAUGAGGGGUUAAUAUCCAAAAUAUAUGAGAAACUCAUAAAACUCAAUAGCCAAAAAACAAAUAAUCUAAUUAAAAACGGACAAACGGCUGGCCCCAUGGCCAAGUGGUUAAGUUUGCACGCUCCGCAUCAGCGGCCCAGGGUUUUGCUGAUUCGGAUCCUGGGCAUGGACAUGGCAUCACUCAUCAAGCCAUGCUGAGGUGGUGACCCACAUAACACAACCAGAGACACGCACAACUAGAAUAUACAACUACGUACCAGGGGGCUUUGGGGAGAAGAAGAAGGAAAAGAAAAAGGAUUGGCAACAGAUGUUAGCCCAGGUGCCAAUCUUUAAAAGACAAAAAAAUGGACAAAGGAUCUGAAUAGAUAUUUUUCCAAAUAAGAUAUUCAACUAGCCAACAGGUAUCUGAAAAGGUGCUCAGCAUCACUCGUCAUCAGGGAAAGGUAAAUUAAAACCACAAUGAUAUCACCUCACACCUGUUAGAAUGGCUAUUAUCAAAAAGGCAAGCAAUAACAAGUGUUGGUGAGGAUGUGGAGAAAAGGGAACCCUUGUGCACUGUUGAUGGGAAUGUAAACUGGUACAGCCACUAUGGAAAACAGUGUGGAGGAUCCUCAGAAAUUUAAAAAUAGAAAUACCAUAUCAUCUGGCAAUUCCGCCUCUGGGUAUUUAUCUAAAGGAAACAAAAUCAUUAACUUGAAAGGCUGUCUGCAUCCCGUGUUCACUGCAGCAGGAUUUACAGUAGCCAAGACAUAGAGACAACCUAGGUCCAUGGAUGCAUGAAGGGAUAGGGAAAAUAUGGUAUAGAUAAAUGGAACACUAUUUUUACUGCUAUAAAAAGGAAGAAAAUCCUGCCAUUUUUGACAACAUGGAUGGACCUUGAGGACAUUAUGCUAAGUGAAAUAAAUCCGACAGAGAAAGACAAAUACUGUAUGAUCUCACUUAUAUGUGAAAUCUAAAAAGUCAAACUCACAGAAACAGAGAUCAGAUUUGUGACUGCCAGAGGGGAGGAAUGAGGAGUGGGGAAAUUGGGUGAAGGU